UGGACGAUGCCAGGAGGGACC
This 21-nucleotide non-coding RNA is filed under the name Caenorhabditis elegans. The record is from RNAcentral. Lineage: Eukaryota; Metazoa; Nematoda; Chromadorea; Rhabditida; Rhabditidae.